ACGGAGGGUGCAAGCGUUGUCCGGAUUUAUUGGGUUUAAAGGGUGCGUAGGCGGCCUGUUAAGUCAGUGGUGAAAUCCUGCAGCUCAACUGUAGAAUUGCCAUUGAUACUGACGGGCUUGAAUUCAGGCGAGGUAGGCGGAAUUGACGGUGUAGCGGUGAAAUGCAUAGAUAUCGUCAAGAACACCGAUUGCGAAGGCAGCUUACUAGACUGACAUUGACGCUGAGGCACGAAAGUGUGGGGAUCAAACAGGA
RNAcentral lists this ribosomal RNA (253 nucleotides) under uncultured prokaryote. RNAcentral's name for it is "partial 16S ribosomal RNA". It matches the Rfam family "Bacterial small subunit ribosomal RNA", at positions 525 to 777 of the family's 1533-position model. The record is from RNAcentral.